UUUUUCUCGCGGGGUGGUGUGAUCUGCCCGAAAGAGCGUACUGCUAUAUGGAGAUGAGGAGAUAAAGACCAUGCGAGUCAAGGGAUCUCCGGAUCACUGGCGUAAUGCUCAAUAACACGUGGACAAUCUGCCCUCGGGUGGGGAAUAAACUCGCGAAAGUGAGGCUAAUACCCCAUAGGCACAGGAGGCUGGAAUGCAUCUGUGCCCAAAGCUCCGGCGCCCGAAGAUGACUCUGCGGCCUAUCAGGUAAUACUCAGGGUCAAGACCUGACUACCCAGCGACGGGUACGGGCCUUGAGAGAGGUCGCCCGGAGAUGGACUCUGAGACACGAGUCCAGGCCCUACGGGGCGCAACAGGCGCGAAAACUUCGCAAUGCAAGAAACUGUGACGAGGGAACUCCAAGUGUCCAUGCAUUGCAUGGACUGUUUGCCAGCCUAAAAAGCUGGUAGAGUAAGGGGUGGGAAAGACCGGUGCCAGCCGCCGCGGUAACACCGGCACCUCAAGUGGUAGCCACUAUUAUUGGGCCUAAAGCGUUCGUACCCGGCUUGGUUAAUUCCUGGGUAAAUCAUACCGCUCAACGGUGCAGAUUCCGGGGACACUGCCACGCUUGACACCGGGAGAGAUCAGAGGUACUUGCGGGGGAGCGGUGAAAUGUUGUAAUCCCGCAGGGACCACCAAUGGCGAACGCAUCUGAUCAAAACGGCUCUGACGGUGAGGGACGAAACCCUGGGGCGCAAACGGGAUUAGAUACCCCGGUAGUCCAGGGCGUAAACGCUGCUGACUUGGUGUUGGGGGCCCUGCGAGGGCGUCCAGUGCCGGCACGAAGGUAUUGACUCAGCCGCCUGGGGAGUACGGUCGCAAGACUGAAACUAAAGGAAUGGCGGGAGAACAGCAGACGACAACGGUGGUGGAGCGUGCGUGUUAUUAAUGUGGUCUUCUCACCCCCCCCCGCGGAAGAAA
This 960-nucleotide ribosomal RNA is filed under the name uncultured Methanocaldococcus sp. RNAcentral describes it as "bacterial SSU rRNA". It matches the Rfam family "Archaeal small subunit ribosomal RNA", at positions 1 to 948 of the family's 1478-position model. The record is from RNAcentral. Lineage: Archaea; Methanobacteriati; Methanobacteriota; Methanococci; Methanococcales; Methanocaldococcaceae.